GACGAACGCUGGCGGCGCGCCUAACACAUGCAAGUCGAACGAGCGAGAGAGAGCUUGCUUUCUCGAGCGAGUGGCGAACGAGUGAGUAACGCGUGAGGAACCUGCCUCAAAGAGGGGGACAACAGUUGGAAACGACUGCUAAUACCGCAUAAGCCCACGGCUCGGCAUCGAGCAGAGGGAAAAGGAGCAAUCCGCUUUGAGAUGGCCUCGCGUCCGAUUAGCUAGUUGGUGAGGUAAUGGCCCACCAAGGCGACGAUCGGUAGCCGGACUGAGAGGUUGAACGGCCACAUUGGGACUGAGACACGGCCCAGACUCCUACGGGAGGCAGCAGUGGGGAAUAUUGCACAAUGGGGGAAACCCUGAUGCAGCGACGCCGCGUGGAGGAAGAAGGUCUUCGGAUUGUAAACUCCUGUUGUUGAGGAAGAUAAUGACGGUACUCAACAAGAAAGUGACGGCUAACUACGUGCCAGCAGCCGCGGUAAAACGUAGGUCACAAGCGUUGUCCGGAAUUACUGGGUGUAAAGGGAGCGCAGGCGGGAAGACAAGUUGGAAGUGAAAUCCAUGGGCUCAACCCAUGAACUGCUUUCAAAACUGUUUUUCUUGAGUAGUGCAGAGGUAGGCGGAAUUCCCGGUGUAGCGGUGGAAUGCGUAGAUAUCGGGAGGAACACCAGUGGCGAAGGCGGCCUACUGGGCACCAACUGACGCUGAGGCUCGAAAGUGUGGGUAGCAAACAGGAUUAGAUACCCUGGUAGUCCACACUGUAAACGAUGAUUACUAGGUGUUGGAGGAUUGACCCCUUCAGUGCCGCAGUUAACACAAUAAGUAAUCCACCUGGGGAGUACGACCGCAAGGUUGAAACUCAAAGGAAUUGACGGGGGCCCGCACAAGCAGUGGAGUAUGUGGUUUAAUUCGACGCAACGCGAAGAACCUUACCAAGUCUUGACAUCCCUUGACGAUGCUGGAAACAGUAUUUCUCUUCGGAGCAAGGAGACAGGUGGUGCAUGGUUGUCGUCAGCUCGUGUCGUGAGAUGUUGGGUUAAGUCCCGCAACGAGCGCAACCCUUAUGGUCAGUUACUACGCAAGAGGACUCUGGCCAGACUGCCGUUGACAAAACGGAGGAAGGUGGGGAUGACGUCAAAUCAUCAUGCCCUUUAUGACUUGGGCUACACACGUACUACAAUGGCGUUAAACAAAGAGAAGCAAGACCGCGAGGUGGAGCAAAACUCAGAAACAACGUCCCAGUUCGGACUGCAGGCUGCAACUCGCCUGCACGAAGUCGGAAUUGCUAGUAAUCGCAGAUCAGCAUGCUGCGGUGAAUACGUUCCCGGGCCU
RNAcentral lists this ribosomal RNA (1332 nucleotides) under uncultured bacterium. Its description in RNAcentral is "bacterial SSU rRNA". It matches the Rfam family "Bacterial small subunit ribosomal RNA", at positions 28 to 1381 of the family's 1533-position model. The record is from RNAcentral.